Molecule: ribosomal RNA, 251 nt
Filed under: uncultured microorganism
Description: partial 16S ribosomal RNA
Rfam family: Archaeal small subunit ribosomal RNA
Source: RNAcentral
GUGCACCAGGCGAGAAACCUCCGCAAUACACGAAAGUGUGACGGGGCCAUCCCGAGUGCCGUCCGCUGAGGACGGCUUUUCCCCAGUGUACAUAGCUGGGGGAAUAAGGAGAGGGCAAGCCUGGUGUCAGCCGCCGCGGUAAUACCGAGCUCUCCGAGUGGUGGGACGCUAUUGGCCUAAAGCAUCCGUAGCCGGCUGGGCAAGUCCUCCGUUAAAAUCCAACGAGUCAAUCGUUGGGCUGCGGGGGAUAC